AUACGGAGGACGCGAGCGUUAUCCGGAUUCAUUGGGUUUAAAGGGUGCGCAGGCGGCCGUGCAAGUCAGCGGUGAAAGCCCGGGGCUCAACCCCGGAAGUGCCGUUGAUACUGCAUGGCUGGAAUGCGGUCGAGGCGGGCGGGACGGGGCGGGGGGAGGGGGAAAGCGUAGAGAUCGGGAGGAACACCAGUGGCGAAGGCGGGUAACUGGACUGCAACUGACGCUGAGGCGCGAAAGUGUGGGGAGCAAACAGGAUUAGAUACCCUGGUAGUCCACACUGUAAACGAUGAAUGCUAGGUGUAAGGGGUAUCGACCCCUUUUGUGCCGGAGUCAACACAAUAAGCAUUCCGCCUGGGGAGUACGGCCGCAAGGUUGAAACUCAAAUGAAUUGACGGGG
RNAcentral lists this ribosomal RNA (397 nucleotides) under uncultured bacterium. RNAcentral's name for it is "partial 16S ribosomal RNA". It matches the Rfam family "Bacterial small subunit ribosomal RNA", at positions 523 to 918 of the family's 1533-position model. The record is from RNAcentral.